GGAAAAGGUGCUCACGUGGAGUGCCCAUCCCUGCAGGGAUUUCACAGCCCUGUGGAUGUGGCACUUGGGGACAGGGGCGGUGCUGGCCUUGGCAGUGCUGGGGAAAGGUUGGACUCGAUGUUUGAGGAAAUGUAGGAACCUGGUGAUGGAACUCCCAGGAUGUUGUUCUGAAAACAGUGAAAUCCAAGAAUCCAGGAGCUGCAGAUGGGGAACCUGAGACUUAGGCAGGAGCUUCCCUAAGUCACCAACAAGGUAUUGCAGGCUGAGUUUCUGCUGCGUGAGCACUUUGCUCUCGUGGCUCUUUGGGACUACCUGGAAUAAACUCUGUGAGACCUUCAGGAAUGGUUUUAAAAUAAAACCAGCUUUCAUGGCAUCAUAUUGGGAGUUUUCUUUGGUGGGAGGGAAACACACCCUCAAAAAUGGCACCUUGGGAAGAUGAGGGGAGGAGAGAGCCUGAGGAAGUGUGAAAAUAAAUCUGCCACUUUGAGUUUUGAAUUGUGUGUUUUGCACAAUAAAACAUUGAAUUCCACACUGGUUUGGGGUGGAAGGACCUUAAAACUCAUCCCAUCCCACCCCUGCCCUGGACAGGGACACCUUCCACUAUCCCAGGCUGCUCCAACCGGGCCUUGGACAUUCCAGGGAUGUGAUGGCCAUGAACAGACAACUGAAUACAAAACAGGAAUUUCUACAACUGUAGGAAUUGUCCUGUAUUUUACUGCUAAACAAAAAUGCAGAUCAGGCGAGCUUGGUCUUUCACAGCACCACAAGCAAACAUCACCUUCCAGUCUGAGGUAAACUGAAUGUUAAUAUAUAAAUCUGUAUUUUCAUUUACUGCUGGAGAACAUUCAUGGCAGUUUUCUAAAAACCUCCACUUAUCCUGCUUGUACUGCCGUGCUCCCCUCAGAUUCCUCUGAUGGAUUAAUAGAGCAGAGCUG
Molecule: long non-coding RNA, 935 nt
Organism: Passer domesticus (house sparrow)
Lineage: Eukaryota; Metazoa; Chordata; Aves; Passeriformes; Passeridae
Exons: 3
Source: RefSeq, a predicted model, not a curated record